This is a long non-coding RNA of Cyprinus carpio carpio, 4159 nucleotides long. The record is from Ensembl. NCBI's taxonomy places the organism in Eukaryota, Metazoa, Chordata, Actinopteri, Cypriniformes, Cyprinidae.
UGCUAAUAUAUAUAAUAUAUAUAUAUAUAUAUAUAUAUAUAUAUAUAUAUAUAUAUAUAUAUAUAUAUAUAAUGCAAAAAAAGAUAAAGGUCCUAAAAUGGGCUAAGGAAAAACUACAUUUAUGAAUUUUUUUCUUUGGAGGAAAUUUGACUAUGGGCGUAUUUUCAUGAGAUUGAUUAAGCAGUGCUACCCGUUAUUUCUACUAUUACACAAAUAGAAAUCAGGUAAAUCACAUCUAGUUAGGAAUUCAUCACUUAUUGCUUUGUCAUGUUGUGCCUGGUUAGUAUAUGUGUCUGUAACAUCUACACAAACAUAAUUUUCACACAUAAACACACAUUUCCAGUGAGAGAGAAGAUGUGCUUGAAGUAUCAACAAUACACUGUUUACAGGUUGUGCUCUUAAUACGGUACUACUAAACUACCACAACCAUUCACUCUCAGCUAACUCCUCUAUGACAGUUUCUCAGUCUCUCUGUCUCUCUCUCAGCAAUACAAACACAGCACACGGUCCCAUAUGAUGCCUUUCUGCUGGAGCCUAUAGGGCACAUAUGAGAGAGCUGUGUUCCAUUACACACACACACACACACACACACAAGCUGAGAGCUGUGUUACACACUCACACAGCUGAAAAGGACAGUUCACCCAAAAAUUUAAAUUCUGUCAUCAUUUACUUACCCUCAUGUCAUUCCUUACCUGACUUUCCGGCCACAUACACACUGCAGGUAAAUUCGGUUGUCAGUUCACAUUUGAAUUCUUAAUCCUGUUCUCUACAUACACAGUUAAGCCAUUUACCACCAAAUUAACUCCUGAAAAAUUCAGCCGCAUUUACAAAAAUUCUAUAUAGUGUGAAUUGAACAGGGUUGCCAGGUCUUGUGAAACAAAGCCAGCCCAAUUGCUGAUCAAAACUGGCCCAUUUUUUCUGCGGUUUUCCUUUCAUCAUUAGCAACACUGGUACAAAACCAAACUCAACAACUAGUUGUUCAUGACGUAUUUAAACCCGUGUCUUUUCUUUAUGUGCAAUGCAAGAAAUCACAGUGAACAAGGUAUGGUUUGACUCAUUAGUGUUGCCAGAUCUUGCUAGAAAAAACAGCAAAUAACAACAAGCCCGUAAUGAGCUUAAAUACAAAUUCUUCUAAAUAAGCCAUAUACCAAAAUAUUGUGACAUGCACCUGCGUGCUUUAUUUACUCUACAAUCUGGAUCACUUUAUGAGUGAAGACUAGGCCAAAGACACUUAAUAAAGCAUUGCUUACAAUAAGUGGACAACCCUUUAAGAACGUGACCUGCAAAUCGGCAUUCCAACGACGGCUCUGUUAGCAGUGGUUUAAUUAAAAUAGACAAACUAUUACUUUGUAGUAUUACUUUGAUGAGGGGAAAUAAGUGAUGACAUAGGUUUCAUUUUUGGGUGAACUACUCCUCUGUGAGAGAAGUUUAUUUUCUUUAUAAGAUCAUGUUGUUUGCUGUCAUCUCUGAUGCAACACACAUCGACCUUCCGUAUGUAGAAAUGGAAUUACUUGGAUCCAAUUCUGCCAGAUCUUUGCUCAACACUUCAGUCCAGAUACCACCACUCUUACUGUAUUUUGGGUUUGUGUGUGGUCAGUCAGGUAUCAGGGAUGCUGUGUCAUUUUUAGCCCCUGCAUGUGUUUCUACUGUUGGUGCAGAAAUUCAAUGGUGCCGCAUAUACUCCAUGGUGCAGCUUCAUGGUGCUUCAUUCUUUCUCACUUUCUCCUGGCUUGCGUUCUGCUUCAGGUUCAGCUCGGCUACAUUCACACCGCAGUUGCGUGAUUUCUGGCCCAGAUCUAUUUUUUAAUGAUUUUGAUGAAAAAUCAUGUUAUCAUUUUCCAUUUGAGGCACUUUCAUACGUGGAAAUUAAUCACGGAAACAUGCAAUGUGGUUCAUGCAAUUGUUAACAUCACUACUGGUCAAAAGUUUGGGGUCAAUAAGAUUUUUUUUUGAAAGAUUAACAUGUUUAAUCAACAAGGAUGCAUUCAAUUGAUUCAAUGUCACAAUGAAGACAUUUAUAAUGUUACAUAAGAUUUAUACAGUAUUUCAAGUAAAUGCAGGUCUUAAUAAAUAAUGGAACUUUCUAUUCAUCAAAAAAUCGUCACAAAAUAUGAAGCAACUGUUUUCAACACUGAUAAUACUAAGAAAUGUUUCUUGGAGGAUCAUGUGACACUGAAGAUUGGAGUAAUGCUUAAAAUUCAGCUGUGCAUCACAGAAAUAAAUAACAUUUUAUUCAAAUAGAAAACAGAUAUUUUAAAUUGUAAUAAUAUUUCACAAUAUUGCUGGUUUUACUGUUUGAUAAAGUAAAUGCAGCAUUAGUGAGCAUAAGAGACUUUGAAAAAGAUUGAAAAAUCUUACUGACCUCAAACUUUUAAUUGCGAUAAUUGGAUGAUUGAUUUAACCUUGGUGUAAAUUUGAAUAAUUUUUCAAUUCUACUCUAUGAGGAGAUUGUAAUAUUUACAUAAAAUAUGUAAAUAAAUUAAAUGUCUUCAAAUGUCUUUAUAGAAAAACUGUGGUGUCCUAAAGUCAGGGGUCACACUGAAAAUCUGGGAUUCAAAGUGUAAUUUGAAAAUAAGCAGAUUUAUUUAUAGGAUUUAGAAAAAAAGAAAUUGACAAAAUUAAUAGAAAAAUAUUUCCAAUUCUGAAUCAGGCUCUUGCGAUGUGAACAUAGCCUUUCUCUCUCAUGCUGAACUACGUACGAAUCAGCCUACGUGCUAAUCUACAGGCUGACUAGUAUUCUGACCAUUCUGGUUUUUGACAGUCUUGACAUAUUCAGUGCUCCUUUGCUCAGGAUUCUGGGAAAGUGGCCCAUCUGUGUGAUGUCAUAAAAGCUGGUCACAUGGUGCUCCCAGAAUCCAGAGUCCUCUUGUGGUGCAAGUGGAGAGUUCACACUUGGGUAAUGUGCAAACUGGAUUACUGUAAAACUCUACUAUGUGUGCUGUUUUAUAAUCCUGUUUCACAUCUGAAAUAAACAGGACUCUGGUGCUCACAGAGAUGUGCUUCGAAAUUGAGGAUUUUUGUACGAAUUUGCUAAUUCAGUUGGCCCUCGCUGGAAGGAAGAGUUUAUACAGAUCACAUUUCAACCGUGAAAGAAAACUUUUCUGGUUUCUCUCUAACCAAACUAGCACAUUGGACUACUUCUUAUUUGGGGGUUGCUCAUUUCUUCAAACUUUUGACUGACGUGUUGAAAGCUGGUCAACCAACUCAUUACCUGAAUGAUGGUUUUGUUUGCAGUUUAGAUUCAGAUCUGAAUCGUUAUGUCACAGUUGAUGUUGAAAUAUGCUUAUGGCCCACAGGUUAUAGUAAACUUCUGCUAAGAAACUGAACUUAAAGGAAAACAUCCUGCUAUUUAGUCGUUUGAUUGGAUUGUUUGAUAGUAAUUCACUUUGAGCAAACAUUACACAUUAUCGUAUUUCAGGCGAUUUUUGUCUAAUUUCAGUAAGUUUUGAGUUCCCUCAGAUCCAUUUAUCAAGUUUAAAUGCAAAAACGUCAGCGUAUUCUGUCUAGAAAUUACUUACAGAGAGACAGUCGAUUUUUGUUUUGUCAAAAAUCUUAUGAAAACACUCCAGAAACCUCUCAGAAGAACAUGCACUUCCAUGACCAGCAUGAUUUUUUUUUUUUUUAGUUUUUUAGACAAAUCUACCCCUAAACUCAAUUUAGCCUUACAUGAUGGAUUUGUUUUUUACAAACACACAGCUUUUCACUUCACAAGACAUUAACUGAUGGACUGGAGCGGUGUGGAUUGCUUGUGGAUUAUUGUGAUGUUUUUAUCAGCUGUUUGGACUCUCAUUCUGAUGGCACCCAUUCACUGCAGUGGAUCCACUGGUGAGCAAGUCAUGCAAUUUCUCCAAAUCCGUUCUCAUGAAGAAACAAACUCAUCUACAUCUUGGAAAGCCUGAGGCCUCGUCCAACUGAUCAGUCCACAGGUCUCUCUCUUAUACUUUUCUUCAUCCGCUGUAACACAUUUAUCCUCACCCUCUCUCUCUCGCUCGGUGUGGCUGUAGUUCUGUUGUGUUUUGAUGGUCUUUGGAUUGUUAUAGUAGCAGUUCAUCCUUCCAUAAUUCUCUCUGUACACAGUGAAAGGAGAGAUGGCCGAACACUGCGGCUCCUUUCCUGUGCACUUGUGCUGGGGAACACUUGAAUUAAAUGUACUGUUUUU